This 1241-nucleotide long non-coding RNA is filed under the name Piliocolobus tephrosceles (Ugandan red Colobus). RNAcentral's name for it is "lncRNA (ENSPTEG00000037345.1)". Lineage: Eukaryota; Metazoa; Chordata; Mammalia; Primates; Cercopithecidae. The record is from RNAcentral.
GUCAAGGGUGAGGGUGGGUCAGGGAGGGCUCCCAGGAGGCUUCCAAGCCUGGAGCCUCUUCCCAGCCUGGAGAAGUGCCCUGGGUGGCUCCCAGCACCACUGACCACCUGGUUUGAUGCAGAGACUGCACAGGACAGUGCUGCAAGCGUGACUUGGCUUGUUCGUAGGUUCUCCCUUCCUCUAUUCUGCUGGUGGCUAUGUGACCUUGAGCAAGUUACCCAACUUUAUGAAGAAGGAACUUCUAAGAAUACUUCCCUGCAGGCUGAGGUGGAGCCCAAAUGGGCACUGAGGGUGAGAAGGACCUGCAGGCUGAGGUGGGGCCCACAUGGGCGCUGAGAGUGAGAAGGACCUGCAGGUUCUCGGGACAUCGCCUUCUCCAUCCUCCUUGAAUGGCGCUGACUCUGGUUUGCAGGACCCUUUCCUGUGCCCUGAGCCUAUGGCGGAUCUGCCAUCUGCCAGAUGCUGGACCCUCGUAUGCACGUCAUCACGUCCUCAGGCCUCCACGGUGCCCAUCUCUCCAUCUCAUGGCCCAGGCCUCUGUGGUGCCUAUCUCCAUCUCGUGGCUCAGGCCUCCAUGGCACCUGUCUCUCCAGCUCGUGGCCCUGGAUGCUGGUGGUGCCCACCUGGCAGCGUGCCUAGCCCAUGGGGAGCUCAGCAAACCCUUGCCGACAUGCAAUGGGUUCCCAGUGAUCGGAUGAGUAAAUGAGAGCCUGCAGAAGCCCUGCCACUCUUGCCUUUUCUUUUUGGGUCAAUGAGGUGGCAGCCCAUGUGUUGAUUCUGCAAGUGUAGACACAACUCUUGAAUAAUCACAUGGAAUAGCUUUACCCAGAGAGGCCCAGACACCUGUGGGAGGCCAGCCCAGCUUCCCACCAGAGGCCACUCAGGGGUGUUCAUGUGCCCUCAGUUUGGGUGCCCUUCCAGCCUUUGGCCCACAGGAAGGGGAAUUCUAAAUGCAUGCCAGUCACCCUGGUCUGCACUUACUGGUAUUGCUCUGAUUUGUUGCAUAGAGUGGGGAGGAGCCAAAGACAGCAUUGGAACGGAGGACGGGCCAAGCCUCCACCCUGGUGGCCUUUUUCCUGCAUGUGAGGCAGGCUCCCUCUCCGUUUUCCUCCUCCCCAGAAGCUCUCAAGGGCAGGACUCCUCUGCUCAGCUCACGGUAGCAGCUCUGAUGCUGGAACAGGGCCUGAGUGGAUGGAUGGAUGAUUCCCCAGUGUGGGUCUCCGAAGCCCACCCUGUUCCGU